UACGUAGGGGGCAAGCGUUGUCCGGAUUUACUGGGCGUAAAGGGCGUGCAGGCGGUUUGUUAAGUGCAGAGUGAAAGCUCCCGGCUCAACUGGGAGAGGUCUUUGCAUACUGGCAAACUCGAGGGAGGCAGAGGAAAGUGGAAUUCCCGGUGUAGUGGUGAUAUGCGUAGAUAUCGGGAGGAACACCUGUGGCGAAGGCGGCUUUCUGGGCCUUACCUGACGCUGAGACGCGAAAGCGUGGGGAGCGAACCGG
This 253-nucleotide ribosomal RNA is filed under the name uncultured bacterium. RNAcentral's name for it is "partial 16S ribosomal RNA". It matches the Rfam family "Bacterial small subunit ribosomal RNA", at positions 524 to 776 of the family's 1533-position model. The record is from RNAcentral.